CACAUUGCCAUCACCAACAUCUACGUUCCAUCAUCACGAUCACUCAAGCAAGCCUUUUUAAACGAGCUCUCAUCCAUCUCACAACCCGAUGACACCCCCUGGAUCAUCGCCGAUGACUUCAACCUCAUCCGCUUCCCCUCUGACAAAAAUAACCUUGCGUUCCACCACACCGAAGCCAAUGCUUUUAACCAAACCUUAGAUGAUCUAGCUCUCAUUGAACUGCCCCUACUUGAUCGCAGGUUCACCUGGUCGAACAAUCGAGCCAACCCCACCCUAGAACGGCUAGAUCGUGUUUUCUUUAACCUUGCUUGGGCGGACACCUUCCCUAACACCUCGCUCUCCUCUCGCACACGCUUCACGUCCGAUCACGUCCCACUCCUCAUCCACAUCACCACCACCAUCCCACGCUCUAAUUUUUUCAAAUUUGAGCCGGGCUGGGCCAGUUUCCGGCCCUGCAGCGACUGUCGUGGUUCUAAGCCUGACAGUAGAGUGGGGGUAGGUAUUGAGAGGCAAGGUCCUAGCUAUGGAGAGGUUGUAAGCACAAGGGAUGUACGAGUUCAGGCCCUUCUCGGAGGAAGUAACAGCCCUACGUCUCGGAGCCCGGAGGCGGUAGAGUGGAUUAUGAGUAUAUGA
Molecule: ribosomal RNA, 633 nt
Filed under: Triticum aestivum (bread wheat)
Lineage: Eukaryota; Viridiplantae; Streptophyta; Magnoliopsida; Poales; Poaceae
Description: partial small subunit ribosomal RNA
Source: RNAcentral